GCAGAGCUCUGGGAAUCUCACCAUGGCCUGGACCCCUCUCCUGCUCCCCCUCCUCACUUUCUGCACAGUCUCUGAGGCCUCCUAUGAGCUGACACAGCCACCCUCGGUGUCAGUGUCCCCAGGACAAACGGCCAGGAUCACCUGCUCUGGAGAUGCAUUGCCAAAAAAAUAUGCUUAUUGGUACCAGCAGAAGUCAGGCCAGGCCCCUGUGCUGGUCAUCUAUGAGGACAGCAAACGACCCUCCGGGAUCCCUGAGAGAUUCUCUGGCUCCAGCUCAGGGACAAUGGCCACCUUGACUAUCAGUGGGGCCCAGGUGGAGGAUGAAGCUGACUACUACUGUUACUCAACAGACAGCAGUGGUAAUCAUAGCACAGUGACACUGGCAGAUGGGGAAGAAAUUCACUUUAGGAAGUCAGCCCAAGGCUGCCCCCUCGGUCACUCUGUUCCCACCCUCCUCUGAGGAGCUUCAAGCCAACAAGGCCACACUGGUGUGUCUCAUAAGUGACUUCUACCCGGGAGCCGUGACAGUGGCCUGGAAGGCAGAUAGCAGCCCCGUCAAGGCGGGAGUGGAGACCACCACACCCUCCAAACAAAGCAACAACAAGUACGCGGCCAGCAGCUACCUGAGCCUGACGCCUGAGCAGUGGAAGUCCCACAAAAGCUACAGCUGCCAGGUCACGCAUGAAGGGAGCACCGUGGAGAAGACAGUGGCCCCUACAGAAUGUUCAUAGGUUCUCAUCCCUCACCCCCCACCACGGGAGACUAGAGCUGCAGGAUCCCAGGGGAGGGGUCUCUCCUCCCACCCCAAGGCAUCAAGCCCUUCUCCCUGCACUCAAUAAACCCUCAAUAAAUAUUCUCAUUGUC
This 864-nucleotide long non-coding RNA is filed under the name Homo sapiens (human). RNAcentral describes it as "long non-coding RNA NONHSAT192115.1". Lineage: Eukaryota; Metazoa; Chordata; Mammalia; Primates; Hominidae. The record is from RNAcentral.